GGCUCUGUGGUGCAAUGGAUAGAGCAUUGGACUUCUAGGCUGUGAAUGGAGGCAUUCAAAGGUUGUGGGUUCGAGUCCCACCAGAGUUG
Danio rerio (zebrafish) is the source of this 89-nucleotide non-coding RNA. NCBI's taxonomy places the organism in Eukaryota, Metazoa, Chordata, Actinopteri, Cypriniformes, Danionidae. The record is from Rfam.